Molecule: RNA transcript, 1783 nt
Organism: Cynara cardunculus var. scolymus (artichoke)
Lineage: Eukaryota; Viridiplantae; Streptophyta; Magnoliopsida; Asterales; Asteraceae
Gene name: alpha/beta hydrolase domain-containing protein 17B-like
Exons: 8
Source: RefSeq, a predicted model, not a curated record
UGCUUCCCUUUCUCUCUCUCACACACUAACACCCUCACUGUGUGUCUCCGAUCAAACCCCCAUAUUUCAACCAAAAACAAAUCAGUAAUUGUUUUCCCCUUUCAAUUCACCCACGAAAUGAAUUGGAUUUAAUGGUGUAUUUCUUAUAUACACACCAACGUCCAAAUCAACAGAGACCCCUACCUCCAUUUCAUCAAAUUAUUCACACAAAUCUCCAUCUGUUUAUGGGUUUUUGAGCUUUAGUGUUAGUAAAAGGGCUUGGUUGUGAAACGAUUCAAUUUGAUCGAUGGGGGCGAUGACGUCGUCCGUGGCGGCGAAGUUCGCGUUUUUUCCGCCGAAUCCGCCGUCGUACAGGGUGGUGAUGGAUGAAUCGGGUGGUGGUGGGAAGUGGAGGAUGACGGAUGUGUCUGAAAGGGAUAACGUCGAUGUUUUGAAGCUGAAGACAAAAAGGGGGACGGAGAUUGUGGCGGCGUAUGUGAAGAAUCCGGUGGCGUCGCUGACGGUGCUUUAUUCUCACGGCAACGCCGCUGAUCUGGGUCAGAUGUAUGAAUUGUUCUGUGAACUCAGCCUUCAUCUUCGAGUUAAUUUAAUGGGGUAUGACUACACCGGAUACGGGCAGUCUUCAGGCAAGCCAAGUGAGCAGAAUACGUAUGCCGAUAUAGAAGCUGCAUAUAGAUGUCUUGAACAGACUUAUGGUGUGAAAGAAGAAGACAUGAUCUUAUACGGUCAAUCUGUUGGUAGUGGACCGACCCUAGAUUUGGCAUCACGUUUAUCGAGAUUACGGGCCGUUGUGCUUCACAGCCCGAUUCUAUCUGGACUUAGAGUCAUGUAUCCUGUGAAACGAACGUAUUGGUUCGACAUAUACAAGAACAUUGACAAGAUACCGUCGGUCCGGUGUCCUGUUCUGGUUAUUCAUGGAACCGAUGAUGAUGUUGUAGACUAUUCUCACGGUAAGCAGCUUUGGGAGCUUUGUGUAGAAAAGUACGAACCCUUAUGGAUCAAAGGCGGCAAUCACUGCGAUCUAGAGCUGUACCCGGAGUACAUAAGGCACCUUAAGAAGUUCAUAUCGGCUGUCGAGAAAUCCGCGCGUUUGAAAAUAUUGUCGGGAUCGUUAACGGAUAACGAUACGAUACCCCGGAUUAGUAUAGAUUGUAGAGAGAAACCGAGGCCGAGCACAGACCUGCAGGACCACUCGAGGCCCAGUAGCGACUGCCAAGAGAAGCCGAGACCAAGCACGAGCACGGAUUAUAGAGAAAAAUCAAGAUCCAGUGUUGACAGACGAGAAAAGUCAAAGAAGAAUUUGGAACACGACGAGAAGUCAACAAACGCCUCUGACCAACCCGAGAAAGCAAGAAACAGCAUUGAUCGGUUUGGAGACAUGAUGAGAGCAGCGGUGUUGUGCAAUAUCAAUUGUUUCAGGCCGACAGGAGCAACGGGGGUCGAGGGAUUGUGAAACGUGAAGGCGACUCAAGUGAGAAUAUGGGUUUUCUCGAGUACUUGAUGUUCUUGAAAUCUUGGAAGGUUUAAGCGCGCCCGCUGGAUGCAAACAUGGAGGACAAAAGGUUAAAGAGAUUGAUCGUUGUUUGAAUGGAGGUACCAUUGUUUCGAAUGAUGCUAUAUUUGCAACUCGGAAUUGUGAAUGUAUAUGAACUUUUUUAUGGUUAAAUUAAAAUUCAAUGCGGAAUGUUUGACUAUUAAUCAAAUAUCGUUUUUAAUGAAAUUAAGAAAACUUGGGGGGUGUUUGGUUGAAGAUGUUAACCAGUAACUGAUUGAGUUGAAAAAU